This 468-nucleotide ribosomal RNA is filed under the name uncultured bacterium. Its description in RNAcentral is "partial 16S ribosomal RNA". It matches the Rfam family "Bacterial small subunit ribosomal RNA", at positions 28 to 507 of the family's 1533-position model. The record is from RNAcentral.
GACGAACGCUGGCGGCGUGCUUAACACAUGCAAGUCGAACGGAAAGGCCCUGCUUUUGUGGGGUGCUCGAGUGGCGAACGGGUGAGUAACACGUGAGUAACCUGCCCUUGACUUUGGGAUAACUUCAGGAAACUGGGGCUAAUACCGGAUAGGAGCUCCUGCUGCAUGGUGGGGGUUGGAAAGUUUCGGCGGUUGGGGAUGGACUCGCGGCUUAUCAGCUUGUUGGUGGGGUAGUGGCUUACCAAGGCUUUGACGGGUAGCCGGCCUGAGAGGGUGACCGGCGACAUUGGGACUGCGAUACGGACCAGACUGCUACGGGAGGCAGCAGUGGGGAAUAUUGCACAAUGGGCGGAAGCCUGAUGAAGCAACGCCGCGUGCGGGAUGACGGCCUUCGGGUUGUAAACCGCUUUCGCCUGUGACGAAGCGUGAGUGACGGUAAUGGGUAAAGAAGCACCGGCUAACUACGUG